This 28-nucleotide small RNA is filed under the name Bombyx mori (domestic silkworm). Its description in RNAcentral is "ovarian small RNA-21935". The record is from RNAcentral. Lineage: Eukaryota; Metazoa; Arthropoda; Insecta; Lepidoptera; Bombycidae.
UAGACGGAUGUGAUGACGAUCGGCUGGU